CUCAGAAUAGGAAAGCUUCUAUGAGCACAGUUCUGGUGAUCACUAAUAAAGAAAUGAUAUGUUACUCAACCACAGUUACUACAAGAGGCAUAAAGACAUUUUAUGAGGAGGAGCUGAAGAGAACAAAGUGGACCCUGUUCCAGGAAGGAAGCCACAGCAGUCUCCACAGAGGCAGAGAGAAUCAUUUUUCUUAGGUGUGUGAAGGUCCU
Molecule: long non-coding RNA, 209 nt
Filed under: Rhinopithecus bieti (black snub-nosed monkey)
Lineage: Eukaryota; Metazoa; Chordata; Mammalia; Primates; Cercopithecidae
Description: lncRNA (ENSRBIG00000045356.1)
Source: RNAcentral